UUGAUUAAUAGCAAUAAUUCUCUCGGUGGGUCAGCCUUAACCUUUCUGAUCUUCUCAAAUUCAUUUCUGUGACCUGUAAAAAGAUUAUUCUGAAAGCCUUCACCGACAGAAAAAAAACCUUCAUCUCUAAAGUAAUAUGUCGAUCAGCUUGAUAGAAAAAGAUGGGGGAAAAUCAGUCUUCUCAGAUCACAACUUAAAAUUUAUGAAGAUAGACUUAGUGAAACAGAGAAGAGGGAUCAAAUUGCAUGUUGAAAAUUUGUUUAGGACAGGUGCGGAGAUCUUAACUCGUGUUCCAAAUAGAAGAAUUUCAAAGUAUUUGCAACAAAUUUGGAAACCGGAGCAAGAUACACUCAAGCUGAGACAGAGAGUCAGAGAGAAUGAAAAGGAUAUAAAGAUGAGAAGCCGUUGUUAAUCACAGUGAAGAGAAGGAACAUCAAUCAAUUGUGAGAGUGAAACAGAUUGUUGUAAACGACUUGAAGGCUCUAUUCUGCGAGUAAGCUCGGGUUAACUGUGUGUGUGUGUCUACAUUCCGUUAGACCAAACUUGAGACGACUAGCAAUGGCUUCUUCAACUGUUUUUACUCAUAUCUUAGGUGAUGUACCUUCAUCACCACUAUAUGGAAAAUGGAGGUUUGCAAAUUUCUUCUUCUGUCUUGACAUAAUUAAUAUAACUUUUCCGAAUUAGAUUUUUGAAUCCUCAAUGUUUUUUUUAAUUGGCUAGCAUGCAUUUCAUUCUCAUUGAUUUUUUUUUUUUUGCUUAUCUGCAGUAAUCUGCAGUAGGGUUAUAAUUAAAAGUUAUUGCAGAUAAGCAAAAAAAAUAAUAUAAUACUACUGCAGAUAAUCAAAAAAUAUUAUUGCUUCUUUGAAAAAAAAUGAAUGUCUAUGUGAUUUUAAACAUUUUUUUGUUUGAAUGAAAAUGUUCAUGCUGGAAAAAAAAUCAAUGCUUGGAGGUCACAGAGAUCAAUUCAUGUGGUAUAUACUACACGACCAAAAAGUGGUUAGUAAUAUCAUACUUCCUGAAUUCAGAAAGUAAGAUCUACCCUGCGAAGACUAGUCACCCACGUUCUUGUAUAUGAGACAGAAGAAUAAUUUUCUCCAUAACAAUACCCAUCUCUCUUCAGCCGAAACAUUCAAAUUAUUGGACAGAGAUGUGAGGAACACGAUCACCGCUCGGCGCAACAAGCGCAACUUCAACAACCUCAUGGCGCUUUGGAUCAGAUGACCGAGUCUUCUCAACCGCCUAUAACUACUCCUUUUCUUGUUUUUUAUUUAAUUUUUGCCAAGAAGGAUGUAUGUAAAAGUCUUUCCAUUGUAGAGACAAACUGCUCAUUUUAACUAAUGAUAUUUACAAUUUAGCAAAAAAAAAAGAUCUAUUUCUUUGGUAGGUUAAAUCUGCAAUGAUUCAAAUAAGGCUGCAUAGGAGCAUAGGAGCAAAUGUCAUAUUUCAUGUCUAAGCAACGGAUGAUUGUUGCAUUUAAUGGUUUUAUGUUAAGAUCGAAAUUUUACAUGUC
Molecule: long non-coding RNA, 1510 nt
Organism: Brassica napus (rape)
Lineage: Eukaryota; Viridiplantae; Streptophyta; Magnoliopsida; Brassicales; Brassicaceae
Exons: 3
Source: RefSeq, a predicted model, not a curated record